GCCAGCAGCCGCGGUAAUACAGAGGGUGCAAGCGUUAAUCGGAAUUACUGGGCGUAAAGGGAGCGUAGGUGGCUCGAUAAGUCAGAUGUGAAAUCCCCGGGCUCAACCUGGGAACUGCAUCUGAUACUGUUGAGCUAGAGUAUGUGAGAGGAAGGUAGAAUUCCAGGUGUAGCGGUGAAAUGCGUAGAGAUCUGGAGGAAUACCGAUGGCGAAGGCAGCCUUCUGGCAUAAUACUGACACUGAGGCUCGAAAGCGUGGGUAGCAAACAGGAUUAGAUACCCKGGUAGUCC
This 290-nucleotide ribosomal RNA is filed under the name uncultured bacterium. RNAcentral's name for it is "partial 16S ribosomal RNA". It matches the Rfam family "Bacterial small subunit ribosomal RNA", at positions 507 to 796 of the family's 1533-position model. The record is from RNAcentral.